UGAAGUUGUUGAUGCCAUACUUCCAGGAAAAGCUUCUAAGCUUCAGAUAUAUAGGAACCGUACCCCAAACCGACACAGGUGGUUAGGUAGAGAAUACUAAGGCGCUUGAGAGAACUCGGGUGAAGGAACUAGGCAAAAUAGUACCGUAACUUCGGGAGAAGGUACGCUCUCUAGUGUUAAGCCCUUGCGGUGUAAGCACAGGAGAGUCGAAGUAACCAGGUGGCUGGAACUGUUUAUUAAAAACACAGCACUGUGCAAAAUCGAAAGAUGACGUAUACGGUGUGACGCCUGCCCGGUGCCGGAAGGUUAAUUGAUUGGGUUAGCGCAAGCGAAGCUCAUGAUCGAAGCCCCGGUAAACGGCGGCCGUAACUAUAACGGUCCUAAGGUAGCGAAAUUCCUUGUCGGGUAAGUUCCGACCUGCACGAAUGGCGUAAUCAUGGCCACACUGUCUCCACCCGAGACUCAGUGAAAUUGAAUUUGCGGUUAAGAUGCCGUAUACCCGCGGCUAGACGGAAAGACCCCGUGAACCUUUACUAUAGCUUGACAGUGAACAUUGCUCCUACAUGUGUAGGAUAGGUGGGAGGCAUUGAAGCAGCGUCGCUAGAUGUUGUGGAGCCAAUCUUGAAAUACCACCCUUGUAUGCGUGAUGUUCUAACCUAGGGCCCUUAUCGGGCUUGGGGACACUGUCUGGUGGGUAGUUUGACUGGGGCGGUCUCCUCCCAAAGAGUAACGGAGGAGCACGAAGGUUGGCUAAGUANGAAAUUGAAUUUGCGGUUAAGAUGCCGUAUACCCGCGGCUAGACGGAAAGACCCCGUGAACCUUUACUAUAGCUUGACAGUGAACAUUGCUCCUACAUGUGUAGGAUAGGUGGGAGGCUUUGAAGCAGCGUCGCUAGAUGUUGUGGAGCCAAUCUUGAAAUACCACCCUUGUAUGCGUGAUGUUCUAACCUAGGGCCCUGAUCGGGCUUGGGGACACUGUCUGGUGGGUAGUUUGACUGGGGCGGUCUCCUCCCAAAGAGUAACGGAGGAGCACGAAGGUUGGCUAAGUAUGGUCGGACAUCAUACGGUUAGUGCAAUGGCAUAAGCCAGCUUAACUGCGAGACAGACACGUCGAGCAGGUACGAAAGUAGGUCAUAGUGAUCCGGUGGUUCUGUAUGGAAGGGCCAUCGCUCAACGGAUAAAAGGUACUCCGGGGAUAACAGGCUGAUACCGCCCAAGAGUUCAUAUCGACGGCGGUGUUUGGCACCUCGAUGUCGGCUCAUCACAUCCUGGGGCUGAAGUCGGUCCCAAGGGUAUGGCUGUUCGCCAUUUAAAGUGGUACGCGAGCUGGGUUUAGAACGUCGUGAGACAGUUCGGUCCCUAUCUGCCGUGGGCGUUUGAGAAUUGAAGAGGGCUGCUCCUAGUACGAGAGGACCGGAGUGGACGAACCUCUGGUGUUCGGGUUGUCACGCCAGUGGCAUUGCCCGGUAGCUAUGUUCGGAACUGAUAACCGCUGAAAGCAUCUAAGCGGGAAGCAGGCUUUGAGAUGAGUUCUCACUGGGACUUUGAGUCCCCUAAAGGGUCGUUGGAGACUACAACGUUGAUAGGUCAGGUGUGUAAGUCCUGUGAGGGAUUGAGCUAACUGAUACUAAUUGCCCGUGAGGCUUAACCAUACAACACCCAAGCGGUU
This 1668-nucleotide ribosomal RNA is filed under the name Thalassomonas sp. M1454. Its description in RNAcentral is "partial 23S ribosomal RNA". It matches the Rfam family "Bacterial large subunit ribosomal RNA", at positions 1586 to 2925 of the family's 2925-position model. Lineage: Bacteria; Pseudomonadati; Pseudomonadota; Gammaproteobacteria; Alteromonadales; Colwelliaceae. The record is from RNAcentral.